RNAcentral lists this transfer RNA (63 nucleotides) under Acaciothrips ebneri. RNAcentral describes it as "tRNA-Ser". The record is from RNAcentral. Lineage: Eukaryota; Metazoa; Arthropoda; Insecta; Thysanoptera; Phlaeothripidae.
GUCGAUAAAAUAUAAAUAUAAAGUUUCUAACUUUAUAAAAGCAUUUCAAAUGUUUUUUAUCUU